Molecule: ribosomal RNA, 466 nt
Filed under: uncultured bacterium
Lineage: Bacteria
Description: partial 16S ribosomal RNA
Rfam family: Bacterial small subunit ribosomal RNA
Source: RNAcentral
GAUGAGCGCUGGCGGCGUGCUUAACACAUGCAAGUCGAACGAUGAAGCCCAGCUUGCUGGGUGGAUUAGUGGCGAACGGGUGAGUAACACGUGAGUAACCUGCCCUUAACUCUGGGAUAAGCCUGGGAAACUGGGUCUAAUACCGGAUAGGAGCGUCCACCGCAUGGUGGGUGUUGGAAAGAUUUAUCGGUUUUGGAUGGACUCGCGGCCUAUCAGCUUGUUGGUGAGGUAAUGGCUCACCAAGGCGACGACGGGUAGCCGGCCUGAGAGGGUGACCGGCCACACUGGGACUGAGACACGGCCCAGACUCCUACGGGAGGCAGCAGUGGGGAAUAUUGCACAAUGGGCGCAAGCCUGAUGCAGCGACGCCGCGUGAGGGAUGACGGCCUUCGGGUUGUAAACCUCUUUCAGUAGGGAAGAAGCGAAAGUGACGGUACCUGCAGAAGAAGCACCGGCUAACUACGUG